Long non-coding RNA from Lontra canadensis (Northern American river otter), 527 nucleotides. RefSeq lists it as uncharacterized. The record is from RefSeq and is a predicted model, not a curated record. The transcript is spliced from 3 exons. Lineage: Eukaryota; Metazoa; Chordata; Mammalia; Carnivora; Mustelidae.
ACACGGAGUCCUGCAUCCCACAAUGAGGGCAAGCUGGGAAACACUUAUGAUGGCAAAAGGCAUCUUUUGAAAGAUUUUAAAGUCAGGAGAGGUCAUGUUCAUGAAGUCCCUGUUCCUUGUCAAUUCUUCAACAUAAUAUUUAGUCAUGUGAGAGUUUUCCCACCUGGAAGAUCCAGUUCACUAAGGAAAUAGCAAACAACACUGCUGCUUAUAAAAAUGAGAUUGCCUGGGAACAACUGUGGUUCUUCAUCCUGUCAGAUGUGGAGCCUCUACAAGGGACCUGCUAGGAUCAGAGAAUACAUUCCAGGGCUUCGCAAGGGGUUGGUGGCACUGAGAUUCCUGUAAUUACAGCCUUAUUUGAAGGGCUGUGAACACUCCUAGGGAUGUAAUUUGGGAUAAAGAGAAAUGCUUUAAAUCAAAACUAUGUCCUCCACUGGGUCACAGUUACAGUUGUUCAAUAAUAUUUUCUAAAAAAUUCUGACAUUUAAUAUUAUAAUUUUCAUAUCAAAAGUCCUCAGACCACCAUC